RNAcentral lists this ribosomal RNA (430 nucleotides) under uncultured bacterium. RNAcentral describes it as "bacterial SSU rRNA". It matches the Rfam family "Bacterial small subunit ribosomal RNA", at positions 1 to 416 of the family's 1533-position model. The record is from RNAcentral.
UGCAUUAGAGUUUGAUCCUGGCUCAGAACGAACGCUGGCGGCGUACUUAACACAUGCAAGUCGGACGAGAAAGGAGACUUCGGUCUCUGAGUACAGUGGCGUACGGGUGCGUAACACGUAAGUAAUCUGCCCCGAACUCUGGGAUAACCCUCCGAAAGGAGGGCUAACACUGGAUAGGGUCCCCGAGGUGUAGGCUGCGGGGGGAAAACGGGCCUCUGUUCCAUGCUCGUGGUUUGGGAUGAGCUUGCGGCCCAUUAGCUUGUUGGUAGGGUAAUGGCUUACCAAGGCGACGAUGGGUAGCUGGUCUGAGAGGAUGAUCAGCCACACUGGCACUGAGACACGGGCCAGACUCCUACGGGAGGCAGCAGUGGGGAAUUUUGCGCAAUGGGCGAAAGCCUGACGCAGUAACGCCGCGUGGAGGAUGAAGGCC